RNAcentral lists this ribosomal RNA (191 nucleotides) under Amanita sp. 'longicuneus'. Its description in RNAcentral is "partial 28S ribosomal RNA". It matches the Rfam family "Eukaryotic large subunit ribosomal RNA", at positions 1 to 176 of the family's 3401-position model. The record is from RNAcentral. Lineage: Eukaryota; Fungi; Basidiomycota; Agaricomycetes; Agaricales; Amanitaceae.
UUGACCUCAAAUCAGGUAGGACUACCCGCUGAACUUAAGCAUAUCAAUAAGCGGAGGAAAAGAAACUAACAAGGAUUCCCCUAGUAACUGCGAGUGAAGCGGGAAAAGCUCAAAUUUGAAAUCUGGCAGUCUUUUUUUUCUUCUUUGGCUGUCCGAGUUGUAAUCUAGAGAAGUGCUUACCUGCACUGGAC